Equus caballus (horse) is the source of this 1638-nucleotide long non-coding RNA. The record is from Ensembl. Lineage: Eukaryota; Metazoa; Chordata; Mammalia; Perissodactyla; Equidae.
AAACAUUGAGGAAAUGAGUCAAAAUGAUAAAUAGUUUCACAUCAUGUCAGGUCAUGUUUUACUGCCAAAUAAGUGUGGCCAGCUCAUGAGAAAAUUUUUGGUUUUCAGAGAUUUUAGGAUUUUGGAAUUGUGACUAAUGGGAUCUGUAAUAGGAAACCCAGAAAGAGAGCAUAGAACUGCUAAAAUAGGAGUCAUACUCAAAGAAUCAAGGAGGGAAAACAUUUAAGAACUGAAGAUUGUAAAACUUGGAAGCCUAAAAUUUCACGGAAUGUCAGGAAGAUUAGCUCUGAGCUGACAUCUGUGCCAAUUCUCCUCUAUUUUGUACGUGGGACGCCUGCACAGCAUGGCUGAUGAGUGGAGUAGGUCUGCACCCAGGAUCCGAACCAGCAAACUCAGGCUGCUGAAGUGGAGCACGUGGAACUUUAAGCACGCGGCCACAGGGCCGGCCCCUUCACUCUCAUCUUUAUCAUUUCCUUUCUUCUGAUUGCUUUGGGUUUAAUUCAUCCUUCUUUUUCUGGAAUUUUAAGCCAAAGGCUCAGAACAUUGAUAUGAGACAAACAGAUCAAUGAAAUAGAAAAGAGUCCAGAAAUAGACCUGCACAUAUAUGGACAACUGAGUUUUUAUAAAAGUUCAAAAAGAACUCAGUGGAAAAACGAUAGUCUUUUCAACAAAUGAUUCUAGAACAAUUGGAUAUCCAUAUGCCAAAGCAAUGAAUUUUGAUCCAUGUCUUACAAUAUAUACAAAAAUUAACUCAAACGUGUCAUAGACCUAAAUGUAAAACCUGAAACACCAAAAUUUCUAGAAGAAAACAUAGGAGAAAAUCUUUUCGACCUUGCCUUAGGCAAAGAUUCCUCAGCUACAUCAAAAGCAUAAUCCAUAAAAGAAGAAGUUGAUAAAUUGGGCUUCAGCAAAAUUAAGAACUUCUGUUCUUUGAAAGACCUUGUUAAGGGAAUGAAAAAGAGAAGCCAGAGACUGGGAGAAAAUAUUUGCAAAUCAUAUAUUUGAUAAAGGACCUGUAUUGGGAAUAGAUCCAGAACUUUCAAAACUCAGCAAUAAGAAAAAAAAUUUUUUUUCAAACAGGCAAAAUAUUUAACAGAUGCUUCACCAAAAAAGACAUGUGGAUGGCUAGUAAGCACAUAAAGAUGCUCAAUAUCAUUAGUCAUGAGGGAAAUGCAAAUUAGAACCACAAUGAGCUAUCACUACCUACCUAUCAGAAAGGGUAAACUUAAAAAGACUAACCAUACCAAGUGUUGGUGAGGUGCAGAGCGAACGAAACUCUCAUAUGCUGUUGGUGGGAAGGUACAAUGGUAAAAACACUUUGGAAAACAAUUUGACAGUUUCUUAAAAAGUUAAACAUGCACGUACCACAUGACCCAGCCGUUCCACUUCUACAUAUUUAUCCAAGAGAAAUGCAAGGAUAAGACCACGCAAAGACUUAUACAUGAAUAUACAUAGAGGCUUUGUUGAUAUUAGCCAAAAACUGGAGACAACACAAAUGUCCAUCAACUACUGAGUGGAUUAAAAAAAUCGGAAAUCUAUACAAUGCAAUACUACUCAGCAAUAAAAAGGAAUAAACUAUUGAUACGUGCAACAACAUGGAUGAAUCUCACAGCCACUACACUGAGUUAAAGAAGCCAG